AGGCCGAUGAUGCUAAUCAUGCUCCUAUGGUUUUUCUCUAAGAAUGUUUCCCAAGAGCUGAGGACC
RNAcentral lists this small nucleolar RNA (66 nucleotides) under Oryza rufipogon (brownbeard rice). RNAcentral describes it as "snoRNA snoZ168". It matches the Rfam family "Small nucleolar RNA Z168/Z174". Rfam says of the family: This family consists of several snoRNA Z168 and Z174 sequences which are members of the C/D class of snoRNA which contain the C (UGAUGA) and D (CUGA) box motifs. This family seems to be found exclusively in rice. Lineage: Eukaryota; Viridiplantae; Streptophyta; Magnoliopsida; Poales; Poaceae. The record is from Rfam by way of RNAcentral.